GAGAGCUGACUGCCGGGCGCAGGUGGGUUGCCUGGCUCCACGCUGCGACCGGCAGGGCGAGUGGCCGAGUUCCGCGGACGGAACCGGGAGGAUGUGAGACCUGUCUUUGAAGUCUGCUCGCGCUUCCCCAAUGAACAGAGUGCAAAACAGCUGAAGAAGGAUCCUCAUUACUCAAAAGAUACGUUGACACACCUCUGGGCUUUGAGCCUGUGAGAAGGGCCCAGCUCUCUGCCACUUAAAGUAGCAACAUGGUUGAUGAUCUUUUCCAACUGUAUUCAAGUCUGGAGUUCUUCGGGUAAAAAUUAAUCUUCCUGUGGACUCCAGAGGGCCCAUGGGAUUUUCCUUUUGGAUUAGAUGGAUGGUAGCAAGAGGUGUCCUUUGAUCUUUAAGAACAGCUGCAAAAAGGAAAAAAGAAAGAAGAAAAAGUCAAGAUUGGCCACACUUAGGACUUUGGUGGAAUUACAGGAGAAGAGACCAAGGUGACUUUUCAAUCAGCUCAUCCUUUAAGGGAAGGCUCUGCAAAUGUUCAUCGAGAAAGACCAGUGGAACUGAGAAGACCCUCAACAUGGACAGAAAAUGGAACUGCCCAACCAGAGGGAAAGGAGAUCCUAUCAAAGAAAAAGGAGGUAAAUAAAUUAAAAUUCCCAGGUAAUGUGUACUAAUGUCACAUUUUUUGUAGUGAUUAACUUUAUACUUAAGUAAGUUUGGGACAAUCAUGUAAAAAGAAUGACAACUAUUUGGUGGGGAAAAAAAAAAAAAAAGGACUAUGAGUCUAUGUUCAAUAUCCCAAACAUCCUAGUGCUGAAGAGGUGUCGCUGUA
This 820-nucleotide long non-coding RNA is filed under the name Sus scrofa (pig). RNAcentral describes it as "lncRNA (ENSSSCG00055016886.1)". The record is from RNAcentral. Lineage: Eukaryota; Metazoa; Chordata; Mammalia; Artiodactyla; Suidae.